CUGUCCCGUGGUAGAAGAUGUGCGACGGAGUCCGCCACGGAGACAGCUUGUUGGAGACGUCCAUCGCACCGCACAUUAAGUGCGGCCCGAGAACGGGAGAGAACGCUGAGCGUUACAAC
Corynebacterium sp. HMSC08D02 is the source of this 119-nucleotide non-coding RNA. NCBI's taxonomy places the organism in Bacteria, Bacillati, Actinomycetota, Actinomycetes, Mycobacteriales, Corynebacteriaceae. The record is from Rfam.